This 1017-nucleotide ribosomal RNA is filed under the name Bacillus pumilus. Its description in RNAcentral is "bacterial SSU rRNA". It matches the Rfam family "Bacterial small subunit ribosomal RNA", at positions 34 to 1048 of the family's 1533-position model. The record is from RNAcentral. Lineage: Bacteria; Bacillati; Bacillota; Bacilli; Caryophanales; Bacillaceae.
UGCGAGUGGCGGCGUGCCUAUACAUGCAGUCGAGCGGACAGAAGGGAGCUUGCUCCCGGAUGUUAGCGGCGGACGGGUGAGUAACACGUGGGUAACCUGCCUGUAAGACUGGGAUAACUCCGGGAAACCGGAGCUAAUACCGGAUAGUUCCUUGAACCGCAUGGUUCAAGGAUGAAAGACGGUUUCGGCUGUCACUUACAGAUGGACCCGCGGCGCAUUAGCUAGUUGGUGGGGUAAUGGCUCACCAAGGCGACGAUGCGUAGCCGACCUGAGAGGGUGAUCGGCCACACUGGGACUGAGACACGGCCCAGACUCCUACGGGAGGCAGCAGUAGGGAAUCUUCCGCAAUGGACGAAAGUCUGACGGAGCAACGCCGCGUGAGUGAUGAAGGUUUUCGGAUCGUAAAGCUCUGUUGUUAGGGAAGAACAAGUGCGAGAGUAACUGCUCGCACCUUGACGGUACCUAACCAGAAAGCCACGGCUAACUACGUGCCAGCAGCCGCGGUAAUACGUAGGUGGCAAGCGUUGUCCGGAAUUAUUGGGCGUAAAGGGCUCGCAGGCGGUUUCUUAAGUCUGAUGUGAAAGCCCCCGGCUCAACCGGGGAGGGUCAUUGGAAACUGGGAAACUUGAGUGCAGAAGAGGAGAGUGGAAUUCCACGUGUAGCGGUGAAAUGCGUAGAGAUGUGGAGGAACACCAGUGGCGAAGGCGACUCUCUGGUCUGUAACUGACGCUGAGGAGCGAAAGCGUGGGGAGCGAACAGGAUUAGAUACCCUGGUAGUCCACGCCGUAAACGAUGAGUGCUAGUGUUAGGGGGUUUCCGCCCCUUAGUGCUGCAGCUAACGCAUUAAGCACUCCGCCUGGGGAGUACGGUCGCAGACUGAAACUCAAAGGAAUUGACGGGGGCCGCACAAGCGGUGGAGCAUGUGAUUAUCGAGCACGCGAGACUUACCAGUCUUGACAUCCUCUGAAACCUAGAGAUAGGCUUUCCUUCGGGGACAGAGUGACAGGUGGUGCAUGG